This 478-nucleotide ribosomal RNA is filed under the name uncultured bacterium. RNAcentral's name for it is "partial 16S ribosomal RNA". It matches the Rfam family "Bacterial small subunit ribosomal RNA", at positions 28 to 523 of the family's 1533-position model. The record is from RNAcentral.
GACGAACGCUGGCGGCGUGCUUAACACAUGCAAGUCGAACGGUAAGGCCCUUCGGGAUACACGAGUGGCGAACGGGUGAGUAACACGUGGGUGAUCUGCCCUGCACUUCGGGAUAAGCCUGGGAAACUGGGUCUAAUACCGGAUAAGACCACUGCCUGCAUGGGUGGUGGUGGAAAGCUUUUGCGGUGUGGGAUGGGCCCGCGGCCUAUCAGCUUGUUGGUGGGGUGAUGGCCUACCAAGGCGACGACGGGUAGCCGGCCUGAGAGGGUGACCGGCCACACUGGGACUGAGAUACGGCCCAGACUCCUACGGGAGGCAGCAGUGGGGAAUAUUGCACAAUGGGCGCAAGCCUGAUGCAGCAACGCCGCGUGAGGGGUGACGGCCUUCGGGUUGUAAACCUCUUUCAGCACCGACGAAGCGCAAGUGACGGUAGGUACAGAAGAAGGACCGGCCAACUACGUGCCAGCCGCCGCGGUAA